This 305-nucleotide ribosomal RNA is filed under the name uncultured bacterium. Its description in RNAcentral is "bacterial SSU rRNA". It matches the Rfam family "Bacterial small subunit ribosomal RNA", at positions 337 to 656 of the family's 1533-position model. The record is from RNAcentral.
CCCUACGGGGCGCAGCAGUGGGGAAUAUUGGGCAAUGGAGGCAACUCUUACCCAGCAAUGCCGCGUGAAUGAAGAAGGUCUUCGGAUUGUAAAGUUCUUUAAUUGGGGACGAAAAAAAUGACGGUACCCAAGGAAUAAGCCCCGGCUAACUACGUGCCAGCAGCCGCGGUAAUACGUAGGGGGCAAGCGUUGUUCGGAAUGACUGGGCGUAAAGGGUGCGUAGGCGGUUUGAUAAGUUAGAGGUGAAAUGUCGGGGCUCAACCCCGAAACUGCCUCUAAUACUGUUGGACUAGAGAAUAGUUGCG